RNAcentral lists this ribosomal RNA (216 nucleotides) under uncultured bacterium. RNAcentral's name for it is "partial 16S ribosomal RNA". It matches the Rfam family "Bacterial small subunit ribosomal RNA", at positions 118 to 335 of the family's 1533-position model. The record is from RNAcentral.
UGAGCAAUCUGCCCUUCUCUUUUGGAAUAAGCGUUGGAAACGACGUCUAAUGCCGAAUACGACCUCCUUUCGCAUGAUCGGAGGUGGAAAGCUCCGGCGGAGAAGGAUGAGCUCGCGGCCUAUCAGCUAGUUGGUGAGGUAACGGCUCACCAAGGCUACGAUCAGUAGCUGGUCUGAGAGGAUGAUCAGCCANACUGGGACUGAGACACCGGCAGA